AGCUCCAAUAGCGUAUAUUAAAGUUGUUGCAGUUAAAAAGCUCGUAGUUGAAGAUUUGACUCACGGACCCCCGCUGAGGUGGGCGGUCCCAGGUCGUAGAUCACAAAGAAGCCUUUGCGCAUUAAUUUGUGCUCUGGCCGAGAUGUGUCCUUUACUGUGAACAAAUUAGGGUGUUUAAAGCAGGCUAUCGUUUGAAUACACUAGCAUGGAAUAAUAAGAUAUGACUCCUGUUGCAUAUGCUGGUGGCUAUGGGAGUAAUGAUUGACAGGAACAGUCGUGGGUAUUCGUAUGAGCAUGUCAGAGGUGAAAUUCUUGGAUUUUGAUCAGACGAACUACUGCGAAAGCAUUUACCAAGGAUGUUUUCA
This 365-nucleotide ribosomal RNA is filed under the name uncultured eukaryote. RNAcentral describes it as "SSU rRNA". It matches the Rfam family "Eukaryotic small subunit ribosomal RNA", at positions 587 to 972 of the family's 1831-position model. The record is from RNAcentral.